Columba livia (rock pigeon) is the source of this 680-nucleotide long non-coding RNA. RefSeq lists it as uncharacterized. Lineage: Eukaryota; Metazoa; Chordata; Aves; Columbiformes; Columbidae. The record is from RefSeq and is a predicted model, not a curated record. The transcript is spliced from 3 exons.
GCUGGAGCGGGACAGGAGCAGAGCUCAAGAGCUCUUGAGUCAGAGCCUGCCGUACCUGAGGGAUGCUCAGGCCAGCUCGCGAGAGGCGGCCGUGAGGUUCAUCGGGCUGGCUGCGCGGCCCCUGAGGGACCGAAGGGAGGAGGAGGAGCUGGCUGAGAUCUGCAGCGCCCUUCAGCCCUUGGAGCAGGACAGUGAACCCUCCAUCUGCUCCCUGGCAGCCCAGACCAUCCGCAUCCUGGGCAACCCAAGGGAGCAGCCACGAUCGCGAUGGACCCUGCGAGGCCUGUGCUGCUGGCCCCGCUAAGCCCGGCGGAGGUGCAGCUCUUCUCGGGAGGAGGGCUGGAUUUAAUAAAGCUGGAGGAGAAUGCCAAAGCCCUGGUGUCCUUCAGAUGUGCAGCGCCCUGAGCGUGCUGAGCAGACGGUGUCGUUCCUGGGCUCUCCCGCUGCCGCAGGACGUCAGUCCCUCAGCACAGCCUGGUUCCAGGUGUAGUUACGGUGCCGGCAGGCGGGCGCUCGCUGGCCCCCAGGCCCUGCCCUGCAGGGGGAGGCAGAAGGCCGUGCGGGCACGGGGGCAGCAAAGACACGCAGUUUUACAGCAGGGCUGGUCCCAGCGCCCCAGGAGCUGUUUCCCACUGUUUGCCCUCAGCUCCCGCCAUCCCCCGAGGGUUUCCACAGCGCCG